CGCAGCCGCGGUAAUUCCAGCUCCAAUAGCGUAUAUUAAAGUUGUUGCAGUUAAAAAGCUCGUAGUUGAAUUUCGGGGUUCUACCGUUGGUCGGGCUAUAGUCUGUACUGGCGCGUGGAAUUUCUACCUUCUGGGGAACUAUCAUGUUAUUAAUUUAGCGUGGUAGGAAACCAGAACCUUUACCUUGAAAAAAUUAGAGUGUUCAAAGCAGGCUUACGUCCGAAUACAUUAGCAUGGAAUAAUAAAAUAGGACGGUGGUCCUGUUUUGUUGGUUUCUGAAUCACCGUAAUGAUUAAUAGGGAUAGUUGGGGGCAUUAGUAUUCAAUUGUCAGAGGUGAAAUUCUUGGAUUUAUUGAAGACUAACUUCUGCGAAAGCAUUUGCCAAGGAUGUUUUCAUUAAUCAAGAACGAAAGUUAGGGGAUCGAAGACGAUCAGAUACCGUCGUAGUCUUAAACCAUAAACUAU
Molecule: small RNA, 465 nt
Filed under: uncultured Gigaspora
Lineage: Eukaryota; Fungi; Glomeromycota; Glomeromycetes; Diversisporales; Gigasporaceae
Description: SSU rRNA
Rfam family: Eukaryotic small subunit ribosomal RNA
Source: RNAcentral